Molecule: long non-coding RNA, 1161 nt
Organism: Podarcis raffonei (Aeolian wall lizard)
Lineage: Eukaryota; Metazoa; Chordata; Lepidosauria; Squamata; Lacertidae
Exons: 2
Source: RefSeq, a predicted model, not a curated record
GUUCUGGCUUCUGGGAUAGCUGUGCAGCCUGCAUUCAUUCCACAAGACGCACACACAUUUCCACUUACUUUUUAGGAGGGGAAAAGUGAGUCUUAUAGAGCAAAAAAUACGGUGUAUUUUGCAUCAGGCAGGGGAGGUCAUUGAAGGUGAAGUCUUUACCUUCCUCACAUGAGGGUCAGGGGCAGAGGAUAAGCACUAGGUGAGAUUCUGAAACAAUGCUGCUUUUCUUAACGCAUCUCUUGCUGAUUUUCCCUGUGCAAGUUGUAAAGCACCGAGUCGGGAGAUUCCACCCUCCUCCCUCCAGCAUCCCUAUGUCAUUUCCAGUGCCUGUAAACACCUACACAAUCACAUGCAAACGCUGACUUGUUUGGUCCAAGUUACAAAAACCUGUGCCUUUAAAACAACAAACCUCCCUUCCGAGGCUUAGCAUGAAUGUACACAUGUAGCAGCACAUGGGUGGUAGAAUGACUGCCACUUCUACACUGUGGAACAAGGCAGUUAAACAACAUGGUGUAGCCUCAUACCAGUCAGACUAUUCACCAGUCUAGCCCAGAACUGUCUGACUGGCAGCGGUUACAGAGGCAUUUUCUAUCACCUGUUACCCAGUUCCCUCUUAACUGGAGAGGCUUGGGAUCAAACCUUGCACCUUCUGCAUGUAAAGCAUGGGUUCUGGUCCCUUCCCAAAUAUUGCCAUUCAGCCCUUUCUGCUCUUUCUGCUACCUGCAGUGAUUCGUUUAUUUUUAACACAGGAUAGCUUCCAAAAUGCACAUCCUCCAUCUACAGCUUUCCAGAAGUGGAAGGGUUCAUACCUCUGGGGUUAGGAUUCUGCCCCCUGAUACUGCUGCAUAUGUAGAUUCAGCCUCGGGGGGUCCUCUGUGGGAAAAGCUGCUGCAUUACGCACACACACACACACUUUUCAUCCCUGCGAGCUAGUCCAACACAACCUGACAAUGCAGUUAAUGGAAGAACAACAAAACAGAUGUUAUACAUCCCAUUGGAAGUUGUAGGUGUAGUUUACAUUCAGUCACAACCCAAAUAAAUUGACCGACAUCGCAGAUAUGGGAAUGGGUCAUUAAUCAGAUAGACUCUACCGAGUGAAAUAAAAAUGUUAUUUUAGGUUGUAACAUUAUGAUGGUUAACCUAAAAUGCUGAAUACAAUUU